AUUGAACGCUAGCGGGAUGCUUUACACAUGCAAGUCGAACGGCAGCGCGGACUUCGGUCUGGCGGCGAGUGGCGAACGGGUGAGUAAUGUAUCGGAACGUGCCCAGUAGCGGGGGAUAACUACGCGAAAGCGUAGCUAAUACCGCAUACGCCCUACGGGGGAAAGCAGGGGAUCGUAAGACCUUGCACUAUUGGAGCGGCCGAUAUCGGAUUAGCUAGUUGGUGAGGUAACGGCUCACCAAGGCGACGAUCCGUAGCUGGUUUGAGAGGACGACCAGCCACACUGGGACUGAGACACGGCCCAGACUCCUACGGGAGGCAGCAGUGGGGAAUUUUGGACAAUGGGGGCAACCCUGAUCCAGCCAUCCCGCGUGUGCGAUGAAGGCCUUCGGGUUGUAAAGCACUUUUGGCAGGAAAGAAACGUCGCGGGCUAAUACCCCGUGGAACUGACGGUACCUGCAAAAUAAGCACCGGCUAACUACGUG
This 484-nucleotide ribosomal RNA is filed under the name uncultured bacterium. RNAcentral describes it as "partial 16S ribosomal RNA". It matches the Rfam family "Bacterial small subunit ribosomal RNA", at positions 30 to 507 of the family's 1533-position model. The record is from RNAcentral.